ACAUCACGUUGAAACACCGGUUCUUGUAUAAUCACCGAAGUUAAGCAACAUGGAACCUGGUUGGUACUUAGAUCGGUGUCCGCUUGGGUAUACUAGAUGCUGUAAG
Molecule: non-coding RNA, 106 nt
Organism: Acanthosepion pharaonis
Lineage: Eukaryota; Metazoa; Mollusca; Cephalopoda; Sepiida; Sepiidae
Source: the annotation of a GenBank genome assembly